Molecule: ribosomal RNA, 537 nt
Filed under: Patriciaplysina flintae
Lineage: Eukaryota; Metazoa; Porifera; Demospongiae; Verongiida; Aplysinellidae
Description: partial large ribosomal RNA subunit
Rfam family: Eukaryotic large subunit ribosomal RNA
Source: RNAcentral
AACCCCUGGGCGGAGUGAAAGCGAAAGUGCGUUUGACGCACCGAGGUGAGAGCGGGUGCGAGCUCGCCUGCGCAUCAUCGACCGAUCCGCACCACUUGUGGUGGGAUUUGAGUGAGAGUGUGCCUGUUGCGACCCGAAAGAUGGUGAACUAUGCCCGAACAGGGUGAAGCCAGGGGAAACCCUGGUGGAAGCCCGAAGCGAUUCUGACGUGCAAAUCGAUCGUCUGAUUUGGGUAUAGGGGCGAAAGACUAAUCGAACCAUCUAGUAGCUGGUUCCCUCNGAAGUUUCCCUCAGGAUAGCUGGAACCCGUGUGUGCAGUUUUAUCAGGUAAAGCGAAUGAUUAGAGGUCUUGGGGUUGAAACAACCUCAACCUAUUCUCAAACUUUAAAUAGGUAAGACGUCCGACUUGCUUGAGUGAAGCCGGACCUCGAAUGCAGGGUUCCUAGUGGGCCAUUUUUGGUAAGCAGAACUGGCGAUGCGGGAUGAACCGAAAGCGGGGUUAAGGUGCCAAAGUCGACGCUCAUCAGACCCCACAAA